GCCCCUGUAGCUCAAUGGAUAGAGCGGCUCCCUUCUAAGGAGUAGAUGAGAGUUCGAUUCCCUCCAGGGGCACCA
Molecule: transfer RNA, 75 nt
Filed under: Candidatus Woesebacteria bacterium RIFCSPHIGHO2_01_FULL_39_17
Lineage: Bacteria; Candidatus Woeseibacteriota
Also listed under: 1 other name
Description: tRNA-Arg
Rfam family: tRNA
About the family: Transfer RNA (tRNA) molecules are approximately 80 nucleotides in length.
Source: RNAcentral